UACGUAGGGUGCGAGCGUUGUCCGGAAUUAUUGGGCGUAAAGAGCUUGUAGGCGGUCUGUCGCGUCUGCUGUGAAAAUCCGGGGCUCAACCCCGGACUUGCAGUGGGUACGGGCAGACUAGAGUGUGGUAGGGGAGACUGGAAUUCCUGGUGUAGCGGUGAAAUGCGCAGAUAUCAGGAGGAACACCGAUGGCGAAGGCGGCAUCCUGGACCAAUAUUGACGCUGAGGAGCGAAAGCCAGGGGAGCAAACGGG
RNAcentral lists this ribosomal RNA (253 nucleotides) under uncultured bacterium. Its description in RNAcentral is "partial 16S ribosomal RNA". It matches the Rfam family "Bacterial small subunit ribosomal RNA", at positions 524 to 776 of the family's 1533-position model. The record is from RNAcentral.